Molecule: long non-coding RNA, 316 nt
Filed under: Oryza brachyantha (malo sina)
Lineage: Eukaryota; Viridiplantae; Streptophyta; Magnoliopsida; Poales; Poaceae
Description: long non-coding RNA (OBRA_LNC003323)
Source: RNAcentral
AUUUCCUGAAAGCUUUGGACCAGUGCAAGAGGAAAGAUCAUUUCCAAAAGAACAUCUAUAUAAUCCCAUAGACUGAUUUUCUUUUUUUUUUGGGUCAAUGCAGCUUGUGAGUGUAAUCAUCCUUCCUUACGAGCUUCAACAACCUGUUGAAGUGAACCGUGCGGAACAAUUUAUGAAUAAGGUAUUUAGGAAUACGAAGAAGAUAGGUACUACAUUGAAAUACCAUAUUUUUCGGUAUAAAAACUUGGUACCUUUAGAUACUGGGUAACUAGAGAUAUCAAGCCUUUAUGCUAAAAAUUUAAUACAUUGAGUUGCU